CGCGUAGGCGGCUUGGUCAGUCGAAUGUGAAAGCCCCGGGCUUAACCUGGGAAUUGCACUCGAUACUGCUUGGCUAGAGUAUGGGAGAGGGAAGUGGAAUUUCCGGUGUAGCGGUGAAAUGCGUAGAUAUCGGAAGGAACACCAGUGGCGAAGGCGACUUCCUGGCCCAAUACUGACGCUGAGGUGCGAAAGCGUGGGUAAGCAAACA
Molecule: ribosomal RNA, 208 nt
Filed under: uncultured bacterium
Lineage: Bacteria
Description: partial 16S ribosomal RNA
Rfam family: Bacterial small subunit ribosomal RNA
Source: RNAcentral